Molecule: ribosomal RNA, 460 nt
Filed under: uncultured Treponema sp.
Lineage: Bacteria; Pseudomonadati; Spirochaetota; Spirochaetia; Treponematales; Treponemataceae
Description: partial 16S ribosomal RNA
Rfam family: Bacterial small subunit ribosomal RNA
Source: RNAcentral
ACGGGAGGCAGCAGCUAAGAAUAUUCCGCAAUGGACGAAAGUCUGACGGAGCGACGCCGCGUGGAUGAUGAAGGCCGGAAGGUUGUAAAAUCCUUUUAUGACUGAGGAAUAAGUAUGGUGAGAGAAACGCCAUAUGGUGACUGUAGGUCAUGAAUAAGCAACGGCUAAUUACGUGCCAGCAGCCGCGGUAACACGUAAGUUGCGAGCGUUGUUCGGAAUUAUUGGGCGUAAAGGGCAUGUAGGCGGUUUUGCAAGCUUAGUGUGAAAUCCCGGAGCUUAACUCCGGAAUUGCGUUGAGAACUGCAUAACUAGAGUCACUGAGGGGCAAUCAGAAUUCCAGGUGUAGGGGUGAAAUCUGUAGAUAUCAGGAAGAAUACCAAUGGCGAAGGCAGGUUACCAGCAGAUGACUGACGCUGAGGUGCGAAGGUGCGGGGAGCAAACAGGAUUAGAUACCCUGGUA